GGCAAAGAUAUGGAGCGUUCAUUAGCAGCAAUCAUGCAGUCGAGCGGACAGAAGGGAGCUUGCUCCCGGAUGUUAGCGGCGGACGGGUGAGUAACACGUGGCUAACCUGCCUGUAAGACUGGGAUAACUCCGGGAAACCGGAGCUAAUACCGGAUAGUUCCUUGAACCGCAUGGUUCAGGGAUGAACGACGGUUUCGGCUGACACUUUAGGAAUGGACCCGAAAACACAUAAAA
Molecule: ribosomal RNA, 234 nt
Filed under: Bacillus safensis
Lineage: Bacteria; Bacillati; Bacillota; Bacilli; Caryophanales; Bacillaceae
Description: partial 16S ribosomal RNA
Rfam family: Bacterial small subunit ribosomal RNA (bases 30-234)
Source: RNAcentral